Molecule: long non-coding RNA, 796 nt
Organism: Carassius auratus (goldfish)
Lineage: Eukaryota; Metazoa; Chordata; Actinopteri; Cypriniformes; Cyprinidae
Exons: 5
Source: RefSeq, a predicted model, not a curated record
UUUGGGAAUUGGCUUGUUGUUUAAAGCCCAUACGACCUUCAUACCGAAGCUGUUCUUCAUGGUCUCUUUCCAAUUGGUGUCCAAGUCUUACCAAAUCUUCGACAGUGUUCACACGACUGCGUAACUGACUUGCAAGUGCGGACACGUUCAGCCAGCUCAUCCUCAUAGUCCUCAGACAAAAAAGCAGAGAGAAAUGCAGACUCAAACUCCUUCCAAGUGUUUAUAUGGAAGCGACUUACUUCCCACCAGUCGCGUGCAGUGCCAUGCAACACUGUGCGGAAGGUAGCCAGGAGAUCUGCAUCAUUUAAAGGAUGUAGAGCCAGAAAAUCUUGACACUUGGUCAAGUACAACAGGGGGUCAGCAUCAUCAGUAGGACGCCCAAAACCUUGUCUUCCUUUAAGACUUGAACAUCAUGUUGCAGCUCAGCUACACCAGUACGACAUUUGUGAAUUUGUGUUUCACAUUGCUGAAGAUUGGUGGUUACCUGAUCAAGGCUACCCUGAAGUGCACGUUGCAUAGCUUUAAUAUCUUGUUGGAUCUCCACACGUAGCUGUUCUACCUUAUCCCGGACUACAGAACUUCCUCUUGUUGUUUACCUGCAGUCAUUAGUGUGACAACCUGUUGAUUGUUGGUCUCCACCUUAGCUGCAAGAUCAGUAAUCUGAUUUUCAUGGUGAGAAGAUGAGGUUUUCAGUACCCGGGGGUUGGAAGAUUUCCUGGCAGAUCAUGCUGAGCCAUUGAAGGAGAUGUAACAUCACCAGAUGUACACAGUUGCAUGCUGUCAUAUGAUGAGGCCC